CUAAAUCCUAAUCCUUCUUCUUCUGGUCUACCUGACCUUUCCUUCUCAAUAGAAACCCUAACCUCAGAAAAUUCUCAAUUUCUAACCACUUAGGAAACCCUAAUUAUUAUUAGCUUCAAUUGGCUGCAGAACUUCAUCAAUGACAUCGUCAAAACGACAUUACAAGGAGAAAUUUGCUCGUCGCAAAGAGGAGAAACCAGAGGAGCCAGAACCACCGAAAUAUAGGGAUCGUGCGAAGGAACGAAGGGAAGACCAAAAUCCUGAUUAUGAGCCCACGGAAUUGGGGUCCUUUCACUCAGUUGCUCCUCCAGGCGCCGUUGAUCUCCGGUCAGCUGACGCCCACAAGAUUUCAAUUGAGAAGAGCAAGUACCUUGGAGGUGAUGUGGAGCACACGCAUUUGGUGAAAGGACUAGAUUAUGCCUUGCUUAAUAAAGUGAGAAGUGAGAUUGAUAAGAAGCCAGAUGCUGGAGAUGAUGCUGAUGGGAAGUCUAGACCAUCUAAGGAAGACCAACAAUUGUCAUUUCGCACUGCAACUGCAAAGGUGUGCCAACUUUUGUGAAUAUGUAGAUUUAUGGAAUAUAUUCCUGUUUUAACUUAUUUAGUUGGAAGUUAGUUUUUUGCUUUCUUAAGUUCCUUACUUAUUGCCAUAUUUCCCUGUUUCAGUCUGUGUAUCAAUGCAUAGUGAAGCCUCAAACUAUUAUCAAGACAAAUGAGAUGUUUCUUCCCGGUCGAAUGGCAUUUAUUUUUAACAUGGAGGGUGGGUACUCUCAUGAUAUUCCAACCACAUUGCACCGGAGUAAAGCUGAUUGUCCAGUGCCAGAGGAAAUGGUUACUGUUAGUGUUGAUGGAUCUGUGCUGGAUCGAAUUGCUAAAAUUAUGUCAUAUCUUCGCCUUGGAUCUUCUGGGAAGGUUCUCAAGAAGAAAAAGAAGGAAAAAGAUGCAAAAGGAAAAGUUUCAGCUGCUAGCAAUGAAUAUGAUGAAGAGGGUAAGCAUGCAAAACCAAAUGGGGGGAUUUUGAACAAUAAAACUGAAAGAGAGAUUUUGCCUCUGCCACCACCACCACCACCACCUCCCAAGAGAGUUCAGUUUGAUUCUCAAGAGAAGCUGGGUCCUGCAGUUGCUAGGGAAGAAGAGAAUGACAUAUUUGUGGGAGAUGGUGUUGACUAUCAUGUUCCUGGAAAAGACAUGAGCCAAAGCCCUAUUUCAGAGGACAUGGAAGAGUCACCUAGAAACAAAGAUAGAACUUCCUAUUUCAAUGAACCUGUUUAUGGCCCCGUCCCUCCUUCUGCACCUUCUCAGGAUUGGCAAGACCUGAAUGGAUAUGAUGCAAUG
RNAcentral lists this unclassified non-coding RNA (1332 nucleotides) under Hevea brasiliensis (rubber tree). The record is from RNAcentral. Lineage: Eukaryota; Viridiplantae; Streptophyta; Magnoliopsida; Malpighiales; Euphorbiaceae.